RNAcentral lists this ribosomal RNA (253 nucleotides) under uncultured bacterium. RNAcentral's name for it is "partial 16S ribosomal RNA". It matches the Rfam family "Bacterial small subunit ribosomal RNA", at positions 524 to 776 of the family's 1533-position model. The record is from RNAcentral.
UACGGAGGGUGCGAACGUUAAUCGGAAUCACUGGGCGUAAAGCGCGCGUAGGCGGUUACUUAAGUCGGAUGUGAAAGCCCUCGGCUUAACUGAGGAAGUGCACCCGAAACUGAGUAGCUAGAGUACGAAAGAGGGUCGCGGAAUUCCCGGUGUAGAGGUGAAAUUCGUAGAUAUCGGGAGGAACACCGGUGGCGAAGGCGGCGACCUGGGUCGAGACUGACGCUGAGGCGCGAAAGCGUGGGGAGCAAACAGG